CUUGUUUAUUUCAAAGAUGAUGCAGCCUAUGCUGUUUUUUCUGUUUCCCCUGGCACACUGAACCAAACAUACAUCUGCCAGCCAAGGACACUAGAGGGGAAAAUAAUAUCAAACAGUUAUUUAAUUGAAAAAUAUUUUUUUUCCGUUACUUUACCCCUUAUAAUUAUAUUAGGAACAUUCUGUUGUAAAGAAGCAAUAAGAUUUGUGAAUUAGAUGUUUUCAACAUAUUGUGCAGCUACAUUUAUGCCAAAUAUGAGACUGUUUGGAAUGACAUUUUCAGUUACAAAAGUGUUUUACGUAAAUCGGGUGUAAGAAAGCACUCUGCUGUAGUACAACUACUUUUUUUUUAAGUUACCAAAUAGCUUACUCUUAAUUCAGUUUCUUGUCCUUUUAAUGACAUACUGUCCUAUUUGCCUUUGGCUAUGUUCAAGUUAGCCAUCCUCUCCAUUAUUAAGAUAUAAGUGUUUCUGAAUGUUAUUAAGCUAUUUAAGGAAUGGUUUGCAUGGGUUCUAAAUUCUUCUUCAAGACCAUUUCUAUUGUGAUGCUUAUAAGAAGUCAGCCUUGUGGAUGAUUAGUUUGCAGGGCAGUUAGGGAUGGGGCUAUUUACGUAUUAUAAUAAAAUACAAUAUUUUAAAAUCGUAAGUGCUUUGUAUUCCUUUCCCUCACCCUUAGCCUUAUGCCUAUGCAAAGCACCAUUAUUAAUUAUUUAUAUUACAGUAGCACCUAGAGACCCCCAAAUAAGCUUGGGGUCCCAUUGUGUUAAGUGCUACAGAGUAAGAGACAGUGAAGACCUUUACCAUCUAAGCAAAAGACAAGGGGUGGGAGAAAGGAAGUACUAUUAUUCCCAUUUCACAAUGGGGAACUAAGGCCCAGAGAGAUUAAGGCCCAGAUCCUCAUAGGUAUUUAGAUGCUUAAUGGGAGCUAAGUGCCAAAAUAAUGUUGAGGCUGUGGGUCUAACUGACUUGCCCAAGGUCAUACACAGAGUUUGUGGCAGAGCUAAAAUGUGAAGCCAGCUCUCAAGUCCACAUCCAAGUGCCUUGAUGACAAGACCUUCCGUCCUCUCUUUUGACUUCAGUUGGAGUGAAUUAUUCAUGUGAAUGAAGGAGUCAGCUUGUGUAGCUCUGAUUGCAGGAUUGGGGCCUUAGACUGAAAGCUCUUCAGAGCUGUAUCUGUGUCUUUCUAUGGAUUUGUACAGAACAUUACAGCCCUGCCCUGACUCGCCUUUGGGUGCCACUGUAAGAUAAGUAUCUAAGUGUAGAAGUCUUGGGAUUAGUGUUAUACUGUAACAGCACAUUUAACUGGUCUGUUGUUCCCUUCUAGCUACACAAUAUGUUUGAGUGGAAAAUCUGCAUGAAUAAAUCUGUUAGCAGCUGAAAGGGCACCAAAAGAUUGACAGGCUUUGAGAUUACUUGUCGCUAAGAAGCUACCAUUGAAUUCCAAUUUAGUACAAAGAGUACUAUGAAAAAAUGCAAAAUAAUGAAGUAAUGUGAAACAGUGAAUGAGAUUCAAUUUGUAUUACUUCAAAAUAUAAAAAUAUGAAGUAAAAAAUGUACUUCAGUAGGACGCUGUCAGCUUAGAUUGAAAAUGUAAGUUUGGGGAUUUUUUGUUUUGUUUAUUUUUUUAAUUAUGAAUCCCAAUAAUAUGUUUUCCUGAAAUUUACAUCAAUCAGUAAAACCAGAUGUAUGUUUAGAUAUAAAUAUUCUUCUGCAAAUGUCCCAGUACACAAUUUGCAGUGUUACAUUAGUGUUUAAGGGUCAGGAAAUGAAACAGACUAGAACCAAAGAGAAAAUGAGUGUGUGUGUGUGUGUGUGUGUGUGUGUGUGACUUUAAUGCAUGUGAAAAGAUUGACAUCUCUGAAAUCCUUUUUCUAGAUAGACAGAUAUGACAAGGACCAAAUUAGCACAAUGCUUCCUGAUGCCAAUGUUAUUUCACCUCAUUCUGACAUGGUGAAAGCACCUCUCCGGUGAGAAGUUUAGGUCAGCUUCCAUUCCUGUUUCAGUCCUGACCUCCCAGCAAGGGUGCCAGCUGUGCUUUUUUGUGAUGUGAACCCUUGUUUACUGGGGUGCUGAAGAUUGGACUGAGAUCACCAAACUCACAGGCCACCAAACAGACAUCAGAUCUCCUGGGCCUUCUGCAGCUCCCAUGAAGUGAUGUGGCUGUUCAUUGCUCCUUACUGGCGCAAUGGAGCUCUUUGGUACUUAAAAUGCACCAUGCCAUUAUUUAUGUUUUUUAAAUGCAGCCAUUAGGUAUAAAUAGCAAGUAAACUCAAUAACCAACCAAUUUUGUCUUUAAAAAGCAGCACAUUAGUAGGACAUAAAAUGCAAUGAUCUUUGUAACAGAGAUUACGGGGCCAGUUUCACAAAGAUUUAUGUGCACAAAUUAAUUUCACAGGGGUGCACAGGCCCUGCUGCUAAUUGCUAGUGAAGAUAACCUGUUUUGAUUUUAAUCUUACUUACACAGGUUUUACACCUGCUGUGCAGCUCUAUGGAUUUAACGAAGUUGCUCCUGAUUUACACAUAGAUAAAUAAGAUCAGAAUCAGGCCCAAUAUAAUGAGCUAUUUUCAUCCUUUCCCCUUGGCACAGGUCUGAAUGUAAAGGCACAAAGUCUUAUGAAAUAACAGAGCCACAAAAAAUCUGUCACUCUAAUAAGUAGCUACACUUCUAAAAUCUAUGUUUAAAAAAUGUUUUAAUUUACCAUUUACCAUUUGCUUCCUUUCUAUAUGUGGUGCUGGAAGUUCAGAAUUCUUGGCAUGCAACUCAUUGCUGCCAGUGGAGCAUUCCAGAGCUAUCAGAGUGAAGUUGGAUACUAAUCUUUACUUUUGUAUCUUAGUUGGAGAAACUAACGAAUUAGUUUUACUGUUGCACAGAGGCUAAAGCUGGGACAAGCGUUGAUGGGGUUAAUAGCUCUCAGACUCUUCCCUUCUGCAAUUAAAUGUACCCACAGCUGGAUAUGGCCCCUUUUCAUUGCACAAGAAGAACUGUCAUAAGGUCAAAAGGGAGUAAUGUACUGGUUUGGCAUUAAAAUGGGAGAAGAAAAGGCAAGAAAAUUAAGAGCAAUCACUGUUUCUGUUCCAACACAACGUCUCUUUGUCAAAUUGCCAAAUGUAGCCAUUACACUAGAAUGUAAUGGAUGUGGGAGAAGAGAGAGGAAAUAUGGAAUGCCUCUGGCAAUGGCUAGCGUGAUGAUGCGCCUCCACAUUGCCUGCCACGUGACUCCCACUGCCACAACACAGGACGCCUUGCACUACAUAGCAACUACUAUUAGUGACAUCAGCUGCCAACCUAAGAAUACACCUCUACCAAGCAUGCGGUGAAACUGUCAGUUCCAUUUCACGUGGAGCGGAUAGUAUAUAUUUAGCUCUUUUAUGCAUCAGUAGAAGAAGGAGAAUCAUGUGCAGAUGGAACGCUAUACUCAGGGAAUUGCUAUUGUUGGACCAUAUCAGGGAAUUUCUGUAUUAGAACCAUAAAGUGCAUGUGUAUAACAAGUCUGAGGCCAAGAGAGACAAGGGGUAAGAUUGAAUUCAAUUGAAUUCCCACAGCUUAGGCCUCUUGUUUUUUCCAUUUCUGUGUCUCUCCCUCUGUGAGAAACGUGCAAGGCCAAACUGCUAAUUGUGUUAACACAUCCUAAGACAGAAAGUCUGUUCUCAAAAACAACUGUAAUUGUUCUUCCAAACACAACACAGUUUAGUAGCUUUUGACUCUUGUUUUGUAUGUUAAAGUUUAAGUAAAUUUGCAACAUCCUGCGAGUUGCUAAAAGUUAAGAAAUAGUAAAGUAAUAAGUGAUAAAUGUAUGUUAAAAUAGAGGAUGUAUGUGAAUGGACGCUUGAUUUAGAUAAAGGAUAAAUUGAUUUAGAUAAAGAAUGAAUGGUCAGGGAAGUGCCAGCUUAAGAAUUACAACUCCAGUCUCGAUUGGCUGAAGAAUGCGCAGAUAGACUAGAGAUAACCGGAUGAUCCCCCCGGAGGGCAGGCCGGAAUCCACACAAGUGCCCCCCUCCCUCCCAUGGAGGGCUGAAGACUCCCGAAGAACAAGAUAACACUGAGACAUUCAGCCAUCAGGGAUGUGCCACCUGCUGAUUGAUAAUUACCUCAAACAAACAUGGGCAGGAUGAAGCAAUUCCCAUAGACUUGUAUAAGGGCAAAAUCCUAUAAGAACAGACUCUAAUGUUGAGUCUGGUUUUGCAACCACCCUUCAGGUGCAUCAGAUGCGCAUCUGACAAGGACUCAGCUCCACCCUCGUGUGCAGACUACCUGGCCAGUACUCUGCCAUGUGCAACCUCUAGGCUGGUAACUAUAACAACUCUGCAGAACUUGUAUGAAUGAGUGUGUGAAUGAAUAAGGAAUGGUAGUGAAAUAAUAUUGAACUGCAUAUCCUGAUUUCUGUCUCUUUCUCUGUAUUUACAAUAAACCUGGCAUUUUUGCCUCAUCCCUCUUAUAAGAUAGGGUUACCAUAUUUCAACA
Long non-coding RNA from Malaclemys terrapin pileata, 4458 nucleotides. RefSeq lists it as uncharacterized. Lineage: Eukaryota; Metazoa; Chordata; Testudines; Emydidae. The transcript is spliced from 4 exons. The record is from RefSeq and is a predicted model, not a curated record.